UACGUAGGGGGCAAGCGUUGUCCGGAAUUAUUGGGCGUAAAGAGCGCGUAGGCGGUCCGAUAAGUCGGCUGUGAAAGUCAGGGGCUCAACCCUUGAAAGCCGGCCGAUACUGUUGGACUAGAGUCCGGAAGAGGCAAGUGGAAUUCCCGGUGUAGCGGUGAAAUGCGCAGAUAUCGGGAAGGAACACCAAUGGCGAAGGCAGCUUGCCUGG
RNAcentral lists this ribosomal RNA (211 nucleotides) under uncultured bacterium. RNAcentral describes it as "partial 16S ribosomal RNA". It matches the Rfam family "Bacterial small subunit ribosomal RNA", at positions 524 to 733 of the family's 1533-position model. The record is from RNAcentral.